Molecule: ribosomal RNA, 422 nt
Filed under: uncultured bacterium
Lineage: Bacteria
Description: partial 16S ribosomal RNA
Rfam family: Bacterial small subunit ribosomal RNA
Source: RNAcentral
AUCUUCCUCAAUGGACGAAAGUCUGACGGAGCAACGCCGCGUGAGUGAUGAAGGUCUNNNGAUCGNACAACUCUGUUGUUAGGNAAGNACAAGUAUCGUUCGAAUAGGGCGGUACCUUGACGGUACCUAACCAGCAAGCCACGGCUAACUACGUGCCAGCAGCCGAGGUAAUAAGUAGGUGGCAAGCGUUAUCCGGAAUUAUUGGGCGUAAAGCGCGCGCAGGCGGUUUAUUAAGUCUGAUGUGAAAGCCCAAGGCUCAACCGUGGAGGGUCAUUGGAAACUGGGAAGCUUGAGUGCAGAAGAGGAGAGUGGAAUUCCAUGUGUAGCGGUGAAAUGCGUAGAGAUAUGGAGGAACACCAGUGGCGAAGGCGACUCUCUGGUCUGCAACUGACGCUGAGGCGCGAAAGCGUGGGGAGCGAACA